GACGAACGCGGGGGCGUGCUUAAUACAUGCAAGUGGGACGCAAGGAACACACUGUGCUUGCACACCGUGUUUUCUUGAGUCGCGAACGGGUGAGUAACGCGUAGGUAACCUGCCUAUAAGCGGGGGAUAACUAUGGGAAACGAUAGCUAAUACCGCAUAAUAUUAAUUAUUGCAUGAUAAUUGAUUGAAAGAUGCAAGCGCAUCACUAGUAGAUGGACCUGCGUUGUAUUAGCUAGUUGGUAAGGUAAGAGCUUACCAAGGCGACGAUACAUAGCCGACCUGAGAGGGUGAUCGGCCACACUGGGACUGAGACACGGCCCAGACUCCUACGGGAGGCAGCAGUAGGGAAUCUUCGGCAAUGGACGAAAGUCUGACCGAGCAACGCCGCGUGAGUGAAGAAGGUUUUCGGAUCGUAAAGCUCUGUUGUAAGUCAAGAACGUGUGUGAGAGUGGAAAGUUCACACAGUGACGGAGCUACCAG
Molecule: ribosomal RNA, 480 nt
Filed under: Streptococcus mutans
Lineage: Bacteria; Bacillati; Bacillota; Bacilli; Lactobacillales; Streptococcaceae
Description: bacterial SSU rRNA
Rfam family: Bacterial small subunit ribosomal RNA
Source: RNAcentral